AUCUACCACCAUACCACCCUGAAUGUGCCCAAUCUAGUCUGACCUAGUUAGUUAAGCAGAGUCAGACCUGGUUAGUACUUGGAUGGGAGACCACGUGAGAAUACCGGAUGUUUUAUGCU
This 119-nucleotide ribosomal RNA is filed under the name Carlito syrichta (Philippine tarsier). Lineage: Eukaryota; Metazoa; Chordata; Mammalia; Primates; Tarsiidae. The record is from RNAcentral.